ACAACUGGAGUUUAGUCACGGAGCGGUUUCACAAUCGUAGGCUCACUUCAACCUCUCGACACGAGUCGCUACUGAAACGUAACACAGCAUUUGCAUAGCAGACAGCUUCAUACGUAGAUCCUCUCCCAGCUUCCCCAGGAGACUGCAGCCUGGCUCCUCUCUAAGCCCCUGCAAAUCCCUGAAAGCAUCCGACUUUGUUAGUGACGCCCAGCAGCCAGUGUAAGAGUAAGAGCAAAGUAAAGGGAGCACAGCCGACUCCGCAACCAGCCAUGUGACGCAGGGACCGAAACCAGAACACAUGGAGCAUGGGAUUCCUUUCCACUGAGGUCAAGAACUUAGCAAAGCCUGAAAGAGAUGGAAGAAGACUACCUUUGUAGCUACUGAAACUCAUCCAUUCAAAUCUACAAGGGAGAAUUGACGGAGCAGUUCUGGCAUCUCACUAUGGAUUCAGAGGACCUGAGAUUGGCAGCACAAAACGACCAUUCGAGUUUUGCACUUUGUCCUUCAGAAAGAUGGAGACCUGCAAAGAACACCCCACCCACGAGAGCACCAGUCAGAUGCCUCCUCACAUCACCUGCUCAGGGCUCAAUCCUGUAGUCCGCCAACAUCAAAGGGAGACCAGUGUGUGAAACAAGCAUGUGAUGGGCCCACAACAGUCACACUGCUUGGCAUCAUACCCCGAUUUGAAAUAAACUGCUUGCGCUCAGCUUACUGAUAGAACCCUUUCCUUUAUUCAGAGCAUACCAAACUCACCUUUAAUCCUCAGUUUCUCAGCCAAGCUUUUAAUUAAAAAGGUUAAAGUAGUUUGUCAGUCAGUAAAGUCCAUACCUGCAUGGCAUUCCCUGAGUUUAGGAAACACCCACUAAUAAAUAAGCAAAUUCAGAACAUAGUAGCUUGGAGUGGGCAGUAGUAGCUUCCCCUAUCACUCAAGUGACUAGGAAAUAGAAAGAAUGGUUUGACACACUUGCACUGCACAUUAUUUUUGGUUUCUGGAGCUUCAAGCAAUGACACUUUUGAAGUCAUCAAAUCAAGUUCCAAGCCCAAGCAGCAAAGACGAGCUUAUUUUAGAAUAUGAUAGUACCAGAAUAUGAUAGUACCACGUUACUGCCACUAAAUCAAAUUCAUAUUUCUUAUUGGCUAAUCAAG
Molecule: long non-coding RNA, 1146 nt
Organism: Alligator sinensis (Chinese alligator)
Lineage: Eukaryota; Metazoa; Chordata; Crocodylia; Alligatoridae
Exons: 4
Source: RefSeq, a predicted model, not a curated record